Molecule: ribosomal RNA, 349 nt
Filed under: uncultured bacterium
Lineage: Bacteria
Description: partial 16S ribosomal RNA
Rfam family: Bacterial small subunit ribosomal RNA
Source: RNAcentral
CCUACGGGGGGCAGCAGUCGAGAAUCAUUCACAAUGGGGGAAACCCUGAUGGUGCGACGCCGCGUGGGGGAAUGAAGGUCUUCGGAUUGUAAACCCCUGUCAUGUGGGAGCAAAUUAAAAAGAUAGUACCACAAGAGGAAGAGACGGCUAACUCUGUGCCAGCAGCCGCGGUAAUACAGAGGUCUCAAGCGUUGUUAGGAAUCACUGGUCGUAAAGCGUGCGUAGGCUGUUGGGUAAGUCGUGUGUGAAAGGCCGGGGCUCAAACCGCGGACGGCACAUGAUACUGCGAGGCUAGAGUAAUGGUGGGGGAGCCGGAAUUCUCGGUGUAGCAGUGAAAUGCGUAGAUAUC